RNAcentral lists this ribosomal RNA (253 nucleotides) under uncultured bacterium. RNAcentral's name for it is "partial 16S ribosomal RNA". It matches the Rfam family "Bacterial small subunit ribosomal RNA", at positions 524 to 776 of the family's 1533-position model. The record is from RNAcentral.
GACAGAGGGUGCAAACGUUGUUCGGAAUUACUGGGCGUAAAGCGUGUGUAGGCGGCCAUUCAAGUCGGAUGUGAAAGCCCCGGGCUCAACCCGGGAAGUGCACCCGAUACUGUAUGGCUUGAGUAUCGGAGAGGUUGGUGGAAUUCUCGGUGUAGAGGUGAAAUUCGUAGAUAUCGAGAGGAACACCGGUGGCGAAGGCGGCCAACUGGACGAAUACUGACGCUGAGACACGAAAGCGUGGGGAGCAAACAGG